GGCCGGGGCGGGGGGGGGGUCCUCCGGGAGGGGGGUGGCGCUGCGGGGUGCCACGCGUGGGGGUAAGCUGGCAGCGGGGCGCGCCGGCAGGGGUCGUGCCGGGGGGCGCCCACAGGAGGGGCUUGGCAGCCCGCGGGGGCUGGGACGGCGGUGGGGCAGGGGCCCCGGAGCUGGGCCCUCGAGGAGCCGUGAGGCGACCCAGGCCCAAAGCAACGGCGCCAGGUGGCUGCUGGGGGGGGGGAGGGCUUGCCACUGUCAGGAGGCUCCCCUGAGCCCACCGCCCACCUCUGCCAGCCGGGCACAACAGGAGGCCCUGGAGCAGCCUGAGGGGGGACAGAGCUCCCCAGGAUUCCUGGGACGAGCAGAGUGCUGGGGUACACGCGGUGAGGAUGCCUGGGUCUGCUCCUGCCUGCAGUCCUUCACCAGGGAGAAGCUCCAGAGGCACCCAGGCAAAAGGCAGCGCUACAGGAACAGCCUCUGUGUGUUGCAGCAGCCAUAUGUCAGCCAGGCAUUAUCAUCCCAGCAAAACUCUGCCCCUGUUCCCUGGGAAAUGUCCACUCAUCACGAGUCAGUGCCAUGACAGAGACCUCAGGGAGACAGUUCCUGAACUGCACUAUUCCCCCUUCUUGGCGGGGCAGGGGGAGAAAUGAAGAUUAUAAAGCUGGUAGCUUGCAGUACGUAUGUGGAGGUCGCUCACUACCAUCACGGGCAAAACUGACUUGGCUUGGGGAAGAUGGACUUCCCCAACCGCACUCCUGACUCUUCGACCUCCCUCCCCCAAGCGGUGCAGGGGAAUGGGGGUGACAGUCAGCUCAUAACCCUUUGUCUCUGCUGCCCCUUCUUCCCUCAGCUCUCCCCCUGCUCCAGCACGAGUUCUCUCCACAGGCCUGUUCCUGUGGUGGCUCUUCGGGGGCUGCAGCCUUCUUCAGGCAAGAGCCACGGGCCGUGCAAGUGCUCGGGGGACACAGAAGGGGUCCCCUGCAGUGCUCCCACCACCCCAACAGGGGCACAUCGCUGCCCACUGGCUUGUGCCCCGUGCAGCCAUUUCGAGCUUUUUUUUUUUUUUUUUUUGCUGUCGCACCACAGCUUUUUUUGUCAGGUGAAUUCGGUCUUGCUGGAUUCUUGCGGUUCUUCCCUGCCGCCCGCUUCCGCUCAGCGCUGCCCUCAGCUCCGACGAGGGGACGUGACCUCCCCGGGGCCGCCGAGAGCCCCGCGCCAGGCCCCGCUGGGGGUGCUCGGGGCCGAGCCGGGCCGAGCCCCCCGAGGCAGUGCUGGGGCGCGGCGCCCUCUGGCGGCCGCGGCGAAACCCUGCGGAGGCGCCGAGCGGGGCCCGUCCGGCUCCAAGGCGGUGGCCACGGGCACCGGGCUCAGCCCCCGGGCCGCGCAGCCCGGUGCCCGUCCCCCGGCCCGUCCCCCUCCAUGUCUCGGGGUGGGGCGCCUCCGGAGCAGGGACAUGAGCGGCAGGGCCCGGCCCCUAGCAGCGGGCUCUGUGACGAGGCAAAGGGACCUUUGUACGGGGCCCUCUGACGAGCAGCCGGGAUGUGAGGCCUCUGCUUCGCACAGCUGCAUCCAGAGCCUGCAAGGCUUCUCCUGCAGGUGUGUGGAGGAGAGCAGGGUGCUCAGGAGCCCAUGGCAGGGCUUGGCCAGCAGCCCUUCUCCUGCCAGCCUUGUCCCAGCUUUGAGCAGCAUCUGA
Molecule: long non-coding RNA, 1693 nt
Filed under: Anser cygnoides (Swan goose)
Lineage: Eukaryota; Metazoa; Chordata; Aves; Anseriformes; Anatidae
Description: lncRNA (ENSACDG00005010121.1)
Source: RNAcentral